RNAcentral lists this ribosomal RNA (478 nucleotides) under uncultured Desulfobulbus sp. RNAcentral's name for it is "bacterial SSU rRNA". It matches the Rfam family "Bacterial small subunit ribosomal RNA", at positions 920 to 1382 of the family's 1533-position model. The record is from RNAcentral. Lineage: Bacteria; Pseudomonadati; Thermodesulfobacteriota; Desulfobulbia; Desulfobulbales; Desulfobulbaceae.
CCCGGCCGACAAGCGGUGGAGUAUGUGGUUUAAUUCGAUGCAACGCGAAGAACCUUACCUCGGUCGUUGACAUCCCGGAAGGACCCUUAGGAAACGUAAGGGGGUGGCUUCCAUCUGGAAGAAUCUGGAGACAGGUGCUGCAUGGCUGUCGUCAGCUCGUGUCGUGAGAUGUUGGGUUAAGUCCCGCAACGAGCGCAACCCUUGCCUUUAGUUGCCAGCAGUUCGGCUGGGCACUCUAAAGGGACUGCCGGUGUUAAACCGGAGGAAGGUGGGGAUGACGUCAAGUCCUCAUGGCCUUUAUGACCAGGGCUACACACGUACUACAAUGGCCGAUACAAAGGGCAGCGACACUGCGAGGUGAAGCCAAUCCCGUAAAAUCGGUCUCAGUCCGGAUUGGAGUCUGCAACUCGACUCCAUGAAGUUGGAAUCGCUAGUAAUCGUGGAUCAGCAUGCCACGGUGAAUACGUUCCCGGGCCUU